Leucoraja erinaceus (little skate) is the source of this 530-nucleotide long non-coding RNA. RefSeq lists it as uncharacterized. The transcript is spliced from 2 exons. NCBI's taxonomy places the organism in Eukaryota, Metazoa, Chordata, Chondrichthyes, Rajiformes, Rajidae. The record is from RefSeq and is a predicted model, not a curated record.
GGGCAGGAUCUGUGGUUUAAAAUGGCUCUCUGACUUCCGGUCCGCGGCGGCGCUUCCGGCAACAACGCGAGGCCGCGGCGACGGUUGGAGGACAGUUGGUCGCCUGGCAACCGGGCAAUUGCUCUAGAAAGCCUUGAGUGCACUGGGCAUCAAUGGAAUGGAGAGGAGAAGAGCCAUCAAGAACACCACAGAUACAGUGGAGAAAGCCUCGAGAUGGCUCUGGAUCAGGAGAGGAGGUCCAUGCGGAGGAGCGAAUGCCACCUGAACACAUCACAGCUGGGUCGCCUGGGUGAGGGUGUCUGAUGUUGAAAGACCCGAAACACCCAAUGAACCCAGGUUACAUCACUGAUGAUGUGUUCAGGCGCAUCAAUAAAUGUGUUUUUUAUCAAUCUAUAAUCCAGUCCGGGUUUUCAUCAUACCAGCACCACUCAUAUUAACGGUUCCUGGCACAAGCUGCCAGUCGUGGUCCAGACACAGUGAUGCCAACAUACUGUGUAACUUUAUUGUUUGUCAAUAAACCUGUUGGAUCG